This is a long non-coding RNA of Gallus gallus (chicken), 7026 nucleotides long. RefSeq lists it as uncharacterized. The record is from RefSeq and is a predicted model, not a curated record. Lineage: Eukaryota; Metazoa; Chordata; Aves; Galliformes; Phasianidae. The transcript has 2 exons.
ACCCUGCCGCUGGCACAGCCAUGUCACAAGAGCACAGCACUGCUGGGGGCUGCGUUCCAGAGCCAGCUUGGUGUCACAGCAGCCUGGAAUGCUGACCAGAAGGGCAGUGCCAGCCAGAGGGGGCUGCUGAGUACCCGAGUGAGCGAGGGCUGUGGGGGGCAGCAGCAGCCCAUGGCCAUGGAUGGCGGCUGCUCCUCCUCUGCCUCACAGCCACACACACGGACAGGGACACAGCAGCACGGCGAGAGCUCCUGUGCUCACCCACGGGACAGAUAAGUCACUCCCAACCCACACCCCACCUCACUCCGACAGGACCCGGGAAGCUCCCCAAGGACCCCCUGCCCUACCCCAAUGUUUGCCGCUGCUUCCCUGAGCCAUGGCCCCACUGCAGGAGCCGGCAUCAGACCUGCUGAUUGCAGUGACCCUUUCCACUCACGGCUAUAGCAAUGGCUGGCAGACCAACAACGGUGAGCAGGGCUGUGCAGGGGAGGGCAGCACAGGGAAGCAGGGCAGGAGGCUGCUCCUUUCUUCCCUCCCCUCUGCCUUGCAGAUGGACAGUCCAACACAAAUGGCAUCACAUGACUCAAUGUGCUGCAGCUCACCCACCAAACUGGUGUUCAUGCCAAGCAAAACAGAUAAGUCAGCUCCAUACUGCAGCCUGUCGUGCUCCUACAGGACCAUGGAAGCUCCCCAAGGUCCCGCUGGUCUUACCCCAAACCUCUUACUCUGCUAUGCUGAGUCCUGACCCCACUGCAGGUGCUGGCACCACACCAACUGAUUGCAGUGGCCGUGUCAACGUGGCGCUGCUGACACAGUGAGCCCCAAAUAGCCAAGGAAACCAUUUCCAGACCAGCAACACGGUGAGCAGUGCUGUGCAGGAGAGAGCAGCACAGGGAAGCAGGGCAGGAGGCUGCUCCUCUCGUGUAUCCCCGCUGCCUUGCAGAUGGGCAUUUGAACCAACAUGGAACCAGAGCAGGACACACACCUGCCGUCAGCUCUCCAUCUGGUCUCCAUGGCACACAGGACAGAUAAGUCAGCCUCAAACAGUGCCCUUAUAGGGAUGCUGGCACCUCCCCAAGAUCCCCUCGCCCUCACCUCAACAUUUGAUACAGCUUUGCUGAGCCCUGGCCCCAAUGCAGCUGCUGGCAUCAGACCUGCUGAUUGCAGUGGCCCUUUUCACACAGCCUUGGGGACACAGGCAGCCCCACAUGGCCAUGGCAAUGGCUGGCAGACCUGCAACCCGGUGAGCAGGGCUGUGCAGGGGAAGGCAGCACAGGGAAGCAGGGCAGGAGGCUGCCCCUCUCGUGCAUAUCCUCUGCCUUGCAGAUAGGCAUCAGCACCAAGAUGGAACCAGAGCAGGACACACGCCUGUCCUCAGCUCUCCAUCUGCUCUCCAUGCCACACAGGACAGAUAAGCCAGCCACAAGAAGUGCCCUUUCCAGGGAUCCCAGCAGGUCCCCAAGAUCCCCUCGCCCGCACCCCAAAGUUUGAUACAGCUUUCUUGAGCCCUGACCCCACUGCAGCUGCUGGCAUCAGACCUGCUGAUUGCAGUGGCCCUUUCCACACAGACUUGGGGACACAGGCAGCCCCACAUGGCCAUGGCAAUGACCGGUAGACCAGCAACAUGGUGAGCAGUGCUGUGUAGGGGAGGGCAGCACAGGGAAGCAGGGCAGGAGGCUGCUCCUUUCUUCCCUCCCCUCUGCCUUGCAGAUGGACAGCCCAACACAAAUGGCACCAGGUGACCAUAAGUCCUGCAGCUCAGCCCUCCAAUCUGCUGUUCAUGCCCUACAAAAAAGAUAAGUCAGCCCCAUACUGCAGCCUGUCGUGCUCCUACAGGACCAUGGAAGCUCCCCAAGGUCCCCCUCGUCUUACCCCAAACCUCUUACUCUGCUAUGCUGAGUCCUGACCCCACUGCAGGUGCUGGCACCACACCACCUGAUUGCAGUGGCCGUGUCAACGUGGUGUUGGUGACACAGUGAGCCCCAAAUGGCCAAGGAAACCAUUUUCGGACCAGCAACCCGGUGAGCAGUGCUGUGCAGGAGAGAGCAGCACAGGGAAGCAGGGCAGGAGGCUGCUCCUUUCUUCCUUGCCCUCUGCCUUGCAGGUGGGCAUCUGCACCAAGAUGGAACCAGAGCAGGACACACACCUGCCCUCAGCUCUCCAUCUGGUCUCCAUGCCAUACAGGACAGAUAAGUGCUGGCACCACACCACCUGAUUGCAGUGGCCCUUUCCACACAGCCUUGGGGACACAGGCAGCCCCACAUGGCCAUGGCAAUGGCAGGCAGACCUGCAACACGGUGAGCAGUGCUGUGCAGGGGAGGGCAGCACAGGGAAGCAGGGCAGGAGGCUGCUUCUUUCUUCCCUCCCCUCUGCCUUGCAGAUGGACAGCCCAACACAAAUGGCACCAGAUGACCAUAAGUGCUGCAGCUCAGCCCCCCCAAACUGGUAUUCAUGCCCUACAAAAAAGAUAAGUCAGCUCCAUACUGCAGCCUGUCGAGCUCCUACAGGACCAUGGAAGCUCCCCAAGGUCCCCCUGGUCUUACCCCAAACCUCUUACUCUGCUAUGCUGAGUCCUGACCCCACUGCAGGUGCUGGCACCACACCAACUGAUUGCAGUGGCCGUGUCAACGUGGUGUUGGUGACACAGUGAGCCCCAAAUGGCCAAGGAAACCAUUUUCAGACCAGCAACCCGGUGAGCAGUGCUGUGCAGGGGAGGGCAGCACAGGGAAGCAGGGCAGGAGGCUGCUCCUUUCUUCCUUCCUCUCUGCCUUGCAGAUGGGCAUCUGCACCAACAUGGAACCAGAGCAGGACACACAACUGCCCUCAGCUCUCCAUCUGGUCUCCAUGCCAUACAGGACACACAAAUCAACCACAAACAGUGCCCUUGCUGCGUUCUAACAGAUCCUGGCAGCACCAAAGAUCCUCCUGCCCUCACCCCAACAUUUGAUACAGAUUUUCCUGAGCCCUGGCCCCACUGCAGCUGCUGGCAUCAGACCUGCUGAUUGCAGUGACCCUUUCCUCGCACGGCCAUGGAGAUGGACGGCAGACCAGCAACGCAGUGAGCAGGGCUGUGCAGGGGAGGGCAGCACAGGCGGCUGCUUCUUUGUUGCCUCUCUGCCUUGCAGAGACCUACACAAACACACCACAUGCCGAAAGACAUUGGGAGCUCCACACCACCCACCUUAGGAUGGAGUCAGGACCUUCAGUGCUGCACACAUCAGCACCUCGAGGAACCGGAUGGGCUGUGUAAAACAGAACUGUGAAGACGAGGACGGAACAAGAAGCUCCAAGGGAUGGACGGGCCCCAUUCACAGCUACCAGAGACACCACAGCCAGAAGAGAAGGAAGCACCGGAACAGAGCGCUCCUGAGACCCGCAAUGGAAGUUUAGCAGCCAUGAAGACCGUCAGCCUUCCUGCCUCGACCCCCAGACGGCCACCGAGAAGCUCUCACAGAAUUAAAGACUCAUUUAACGACCUUCAAAAUAAACGUUCUCCUUCAUUACACCCGUGGUGCUUCUUCCAUCUCAUGACAUCCAUACCGCAAACUCUGGGGAGGUUUCCUUAUUGUCACCAUCUCCUCAUUGUUACGCGUCUGUAUAUCAUGGAACCACAGAAUGGUUUGGGUUGGAAGGGACCUUGAAGCUCACCCCGUCCCAACCCUGCUGUAGGCAGGGACACCUCCCAUAGCCCAGGCUGCUCACAGCCCCAUCCAGUCUGGCCUUGAGUGCUUCCACAUUGCCAGCUCACGUUGAGUCUUCCAUCCACCGACACCCCCAAAUCCUUCUCCUCAGGGCUGCUCUCAAGCCAUUCUCUGCCCAACCUCCAUCUGUGCUUGGGAUUGCCCCCACCCAGCUGCAGGACCUUGCACUUGGCCUUGUUCAACUCCAUGAGGUCAUCAUGGGCCCACCUCUCCAUCCUGCCCAGGGCCCUCUGGAUGGCGUCCCUUCCCUCUGCACUGUCAAUUCUCCAUGCUUUCAUGGCAGAGCGUUCCACGAGGACAAAGAGCUCUGAAGAUCUCCUCUCCUUUGUAGCUGUCUUCUACACUUCUCCCCUCCAAAUUUUAUUUCUCAGAAAUUCAUCUGAAAGCCUUUGCAAGAAAACUACACUGCAAGCUGAACAACGCCAGCUGCACGUUGCUCUGGGAUUUGCACAACCCAUCCCACGUGGAAACCAUACAGAGUCACCAAAACUGACACUCAAAGAAACAAGAAAAACACACAGUGGGACCUUAAGAAGGGGGUAACACAGAACGCCCGUGAGCGGUACACAGGGACAAACUCAGGUCCCAGAUAAGACAAGAAGGGUCACAGAGGCAGCAGCGCAUGGAAGACAUGGAAUAUCUGAGAAGGAAUUACUCUGUCUGCAUCUGGAAAGGGACAGAGGCUGUCAGACUGCAGCAGUGGGAGCAAUGGCUGUGAACUUCAUGCUCACACAGCCUGAGUACCAAUGGGCACCAACUGAAGAACAACUCAGUGCUUUCUUUAUUACAUGCACGGCAGAAGGCAGCAGCCCCAUCCCAGGCAGCACCAGCCCUGCUAUGUCACAGCCACGUCACCAGGGCAGCCACCAGCUCCAGGAACCACCCUGCCGCUGGCACAGCCAUGUCACAAGAGCACAGCACUGCUGGGGGCUGCGUUCCAGAGCCAGCUUGGUGUCACAGCAGCCUGGAAUGCUGACCAGAAGGGCAGUGCCAGCCAGAGGGGGCUGCUGAGUACCCGAGUGAGCGAGGGCUGUGGGGGGCAGCAGCAGCCCAUGGCCAUGGAUGGCGGCUGCUCCUCCUCUGCCUCACAGCCACACACACGGACAGGGACACAGCAGCACGGCGAGAGCUCCUGUGCUCACCCACGGGACAGAUAAGUCACUCCCAACCCACACCCCACCUCACUCUGACAGGACCCUGGAAGCUCCUCAAGGACCCCCUGCCCUACCCCAAUGUUUGCUGCUGCUUCCCUGAGCCGGGACCCCACUGCAGGAGCUGGCAUCAGACGUGCUGACUGCAGUGACCCUUUCCACUCAUGGCCAUGGCAACGGCAGGCAGACCAACAAUGGUGAGCAGUGCUGUGCAGGGGAGGGCAGCACAGGGAAGCAGGGCAGGAGGCUGCUCCUUUCUUCCCUCCCCUCUGCCUUGCAGAUGGACAGCCCAACACAAAUGGCACCAGAUGACCAUAAGUGCUGCAGCUCAGCCUCCCAAACUGGUAUUCAUGCCCUACAAAAAAGAUAAGUCAGCUCCAUACUGCAGCCAGUCGUGCUCCUACAGGACCAUGGAAGCUCCCCAAGGUCCCCCUGGUCUUACCCCAAAACUUUCACUCUGCUAUGCUGAGUCCUGACCCCACUGCAGGUGCUGGCAUCAGACCUGCUGAUUGCAGUGGCCCUUUUCACACAGCCUUGGGGACACAGGCAGCCCCACAUGGCCAUGGCAGUGGCUGGCAGACCUGCAACACGGUGAGCAGUGCUGUGCAGGGGAGGGCAGCACAGGGAAGCAGGGCAGGAGGCUGCUCCUUUCUUCCUUGCCCUCUGCCUUGCAGAUGGACAGCCCAACACAAAAGGCACCAGAUGACCAUAAGUGCUGCAGCUCAGCCCCCCCAAACUGGUAUUCAUGCCCUACAAAAAAGAUAAGUCAGCCCCAUACUGCAGCCAGUCGAGCUCCUUCAGAACCAUAGAAGCUCCCCAAGGUCCCCCUGGUCUUACCCCAAACCUUUCACUCUGCUUUGCUGAGUCCUGACCCCACUGCAGGUGCUGGCACCACACCAACUGAUUGCAGUGGCCGUGUCAACAUGGCGUUGGUGACACAGUGAGCCCCAAAUGGCCAAGGAAACCAUUUUCGGACCAGCAACCCGGUGAGCAGUGCUGUGCAGGAGAGAGCAGCACAGGGAAGCAGGGCAGGAGGCUGCUCCUUUCUUCCUUGCCCUCUGCCUUGCAGGUGGGCAUCUGCACCAAGAUGGAACCAGAGCAGGACACACACCUGCCCUCAGCUCUCCAUCUGGUCUCCAUGUCACACAGGACAGAUAAGUCAGCCUCAAACAGUGCCCUUCUAGGGAUGCUGGCAGCUCCCCAAGAUCCCCUCGCCCUCACCUCAACAUUUGAUACAGCUUUGCUGAGCCCUGGCCCCAAUGCAGCUGCUGGCAUCAAACCUGCUGAAUGCAGUGGCCCUUUCCACACAGCCUUGGGGACACAGGCAGCCCCACACGGCCAUGGCAAUGGCUGGCAGACCUGCAACACGGUGAGCAGUGCUGUGCAGGAGAGGGCAGCACAGGGAAGCAGGGCAGGAGGCUGCUCCUUUCUUCCCUCCCCUCUGCCUUGCAGGUGGGCAUCCGCACCAACAUGGAACCAGAGCAGGACACACACCUGCCCUCAGCUCUCCAUCUGGUCUCCAUGCAGGACACACAAAUCAACCACAAACAGUGCCCUUGCUGCGUUCUAACAGAUCCUGGCAGCACCAAAGAUCCUCCUGCCCUCACCCCAACAUUUGAUACAGAUUUUCCUGAGCCCUGGCCCCACUGCAGGUGCUGGCACUGGACCUGCUGAUUGCAGUGACCCUUUCCUCGCACGGCCAUGGAGAUGGACGGCAGACCAGCAACGCAGUGAGCAGGGCUGUGCAGGGGAGGGCAGCACAGGCGGCUGCUUCUUUGUUGCCUCUCUGCCUUGCAGAGACCUACACAAACACACCACAUGCCAAAGACAUUGGGAGCUCCACACCACCCACCUUAGGAUGGAGUCAGGACCUUCAGUGCUGCACACAUCAGCGCCUCGAGGAACCGGAUAGAUUGUGGAAAACAGAACUGUGAAGACGAGGACGGAACAAGAAGCUCCAAGGGAUGGACGGGCCCCAUUCACAGCUACCAGAGACACCACAGCCAGAAGAGAAGGAAGCACCGGAACAGAGCGCUCCUGAGACCCGCGAUGGAAGUUUAGCAGCCAUGAAGACUGUCAGCCUUCCUGCCUCGACCCCCAGACGGCCACCGAGAAGCUCUCACAGAAUUAAAGACUCAUUUAACGACCUUCAAAAUAAACGUUCUCCUUCAUUA